AGGAUGAACGCUGGCGGCGUGCCUAAUGCAUGCAAGUCGCACGCAUCGUGCUUGCACGGUGAGUGGCGCACGGCUGAGGAACACGUGGGUGACCUGCCCUGGCGUGGGGGACAACGGGCCGAAAGGUCCGCUAAUCCCGCAUACGCUCGACACCGACGGGUGUUGAGGAAAGCAGCAAUGCGCGCCGGGAGGGCCUGCGGCCCAUCAGGUAGUUGGCGGGUAACGGCCCACCAAGCCGGUGACGGGUACCUGGUCUGAGAGGACGACCAGGCAGACUGGGACUGAGACACGGCCCAGACUCGUACGGGAGCAGCAGCGAAGGGUAC
Molecule: ribosomal RNA, 326 nt
Filed under: uncultured soil bacterium
Lineage: Bacteria
Description: bacterial SSU rRNA
Rfam family: Bacterial small subunit ribosomal RNA
Source: RNAcentral